CUACGGGUUGCUGCAGUGGGGAAUAUUGGACAAUGGGGGAAACCCUGAUCCAGCAAUGCCGCGUGUGUGAAGAAGGCCUGCGGGUUGUAAAGCACUUUCGGUUGGGAGGACUGCUUCUAGCACUAAUAUUGUUGGAAGUUGACGUUACCUUCAGAAGAAGCACCGGCUAACUCCGUGCCAGCAGCCGCGGUAAUACGGGAGGGUGCAAGAGUUAAUCGGAAUUACUGGGCGUAAAGCGCGCGUAGGCGGCUAGAUCAGUCGGGUGUGAAAGCCCCGGGCUUAACCUGGGAACUGCAUCCGAUACUGUCUAGCUUGAGUACAGGAGAGGAGAGUGGAAUUCCACAUGUAGCGGUGAAAUGCGUAGAUAUGUGGAGGAACACCAAUGGCGAAGGCAGCUCUCUGGCCUGAUACUGACGCUGAGGUGCGAAAGCGUGGGGAGCAAACAGGAUUAGAUACCCUAGUAGUC
This 466-nucleotide ribosomal RNA is filed under the name uncultured bacterium. RNAcentral's name for it is "partial 16S ribosomal RNA". It matches the Rfam family "Bacterial small subunit ribosomal RNA", at positions 339 to 795 of the family's 1533-position model. The record is from RNAcentral.